Periconia digitata is the source of this 98-nucleotide non-coding RNA. NCBI's taxonomy places the organism in Eukaryota, Fungi, Ascomycota, Dothideomycetes, Pleosporales, Periconiaceae. The record is from the annotation of a GenBank genome assembly.
CGCGGACGUAGUCUAGUGGUUAUGAUGUCUGCUUUACAUUGAUCAGACGAAUAAUGUAAAGCGCAGAAGGUCGGGAGUUCGAUCCUCCCCGUCCGUAU